This is an RNA transcript of Papaver somniferum (opium poppy), 3912 nucleotides long. It is a transcript of the gene named pentatricopeptide repeat-containing protein At3g26782, mitochondrial-like, with no coding region annotated. The record is from RefSeq and is a predicted model, not a curated record. The transcript is spliced from 3 exons. Lineage: Eukaryota; Viridiplantae; Streptophyta; Magnoliopsida; Ranunculales; Papaveraceae.
AUUUUCCUCUUUAACUUCUCAUCUCGCUCUCUCUAACCCGAAACAACUUCUCAGUCUCUCACUUUUUCAUGGCAUCUCUGCCUUCUGUAACUAGGAAUCUCAAGCUUGACCAUGAAUUCAGAAAAUUAUCUGCACAUAAUUCCAGUUCCACUGAUAAUAAUAAGACCACGAGUAUCUCCUACCAGAGAAAUUUUACAUCAAAAGCAAAUUUGGAACCAAAAAAUUUGGAUUUCAGAGAAGCGAUUUCGAUAUUGAAAGAGGGUAGUAAGGAUGUGGAGUCAGGAUUUUAUGUUCCUAUUCUACAAGAAUGUAUUGACAGGAAUUCAGUCUCAGAUGCUCAGAUUAUUCAUACCCACAUUGUAAAAACUGGAGCUCAUGAUGACUUGUUCAUUAUGUCUUUCUUACUCAGUGUUUACGCGAAAUGCGGGUCGAUGGAGUAUGCAGUUAACGUAUUUGAGAACUUGCCGAAGAGGAAUAUUGUUAAUUGGACUGCUUUGAUGACGGGUUACGUUCAGAAUUCGCAGCCAGAACUUGCCAUUCAGGUAUUUCUUGAAUUAUUUGAAGCUGGGGUUUAUCCUACCAACUACACUUUGGGUGCUAUCAUAAAUGCUUGUUCGUCGUUAUUCUCUAUCAAAUUUGGUAGACAAAUCCAUGGUUACAUUAUUAAGUACCAGAUUGAAUCGGAUACAAGUAUGGGUAAUGCCCUUUGUAGCUUAUAUUCCAAAUGUGGGAGCUUUGAGUGUGCAGUUAAAGCCUUUCGGAGAAUCCCCGAGAAGAACGUCAUCUCCUGGACUACUGUUUUAUCCGCUUGUGGUGAUAAUGGGCAACCUGAGAAGGGGUUGAAUUUUUUCGCCGAGAUGCUUUCGGAAGAUGGUGAGCCGAAUGAGUUUACCUUGACUAGUGUUUUGAGCUUGUGUUGUUUAAUACAUGCUUUGGGUUUUGGAGAGCAGGUUCAUUCUUACAGUAUAAAGCUUGGUUUCGACGCUAGUGUAUCUAUUAAGAAUUCUAUCAUGUAUUUGUACCUGAGAUCUGGACGGGUUGACGAAGCGAGGAGAUUGUUUGAUGCAAUGGGAACCAUAUCUUUGGUGACAUGGAAUGCAAUUAUAGCAGGUUACAGUCAAAUUAUGGGUUCUGAAAAGGAUUAUCUGAAGGCUCAUCAUAGUGGUGCAGAGGCGCUUCAAAUCUAUCUCAAAUUGCACAGGUCAAGAAUGAAACCAGAUCUAUUUACCUUCUCAAGUAUCCUGACUGUUUGUAGUGGCCUGGUGGCAUUAGAUCAAGGAGAACAAAUACACGCGCAAACAAUAAAAAGUGGGUUCUUAUCAGAUGUUGUGGUUGGAAGUGCAUUGGUUAACACGUAUUACAAAUGUGGAAGUGCUGAGAAAGCAACUAAAGCUUUUGUGGAGAUGCCCACAAGAACAUUGAUAUCUUGGAGUUCAAUGAUCACAGGUUUUGCGCAGCAUUGUCGAUGUGUUGAAGUAUUGCAGCUUUUCGAGGAUAUGAUUAUAACGGGCGUCAAACCUAGCAAAGUUACUUUCAUUGGUGUUCUCUCCGCUUGUAGCCAUGCUGGAAUGGCCGAUGAAGCUCUGAAUUACUUUGAAAUGAUGAAGAAAAAGUAUAAGAUAAAACCUGUAGUGGACCAUUAUGCAUGCUUGAUUGAUAUGUAUGUGAGGUUGGGAAAGUUGCAGGAAGCUUUUGAUUUUAUAGAGAAGACGGAAUUUGAGCCUAAUGAGUUUAUAUGGUCAAUGUUAAUUGCUGGAUGUAGAAGCCAUGGGAAUAUGGAGUUGGGAUUUUACGCGGCAGAGCGGCUACUUCAACUUAAACCAAAAGAUUGUGAAACUUAUGCAUUAUUGUUGAGCAUAUAUAUUCCAGCGGGGAAGUGGAAAGAUGUAACAAAGGUGAGGAAAAUGAUGAAAGACAAAAAGCUUGGAUGUCUGCAGGAUAGGAGUUCAAUUAGCAUUAAAGAUAAGGUUUAUUCCUUUAAACCUGAUGAUAAAUCGCAUAAUCGAAGUGUAGAGAUAUACAGAUUAUUGGACGACCUUGUUGAAAGAGCAAAGAGUCUUGGAUAUGUGUCAGAGAGAAGCUUAGACGUCGUCGAUGAGGAUGAUAAUGAUGAGGGAACUCUUUCGUCUACUAUCCAUCAUAGUGAAAAAUUAGCAGUUGCUUUCGGCUUGUUAAGCACUUGUCAAGGUUCAUCUAUUCGGGUAAUCAAGAGUAUUAGUAUGUACAGGGAUUCCCAUUCCUUAAUCAAGCACAUAUCUGCAAUGACUGGAAGAGAAAUUAUUCUUCGGGAUAGCAAGCGACUCCACCAGUUCAAUGAUGGCCAAUGUUCUUGCGGAGACUUUGGUAGUCUUCUUUGAAUCAGGUCAUGCCUUUAACCUUUUCUAACUAUCAAUGGUGAAUUGCAAUAGACCGGAUGAUGUGUCCUUUCAUUUUUCAGAUAGCUCACACUAUCAGUGCUAUGGGGAGUUGGCGAGAGUUGCUUAGGACUCAACAAGAUAAAAGUAGCAUCUGCAGAAAUCAAGAUACUGUCAAUGAUCACCGCUACAGGAUGCAGCAAAAGGUGGAACUUAUGCUUGUCAGAUAAGUCUUCUUUCACUUUUCUUUCAGUUUAUAGUUGUUCAACUUGAAUUAAUUUUGUUCAGAAGACGAUUGUUUGUUAGGAAUAUUAAUAUGCUUUUGACAAAUAGGACCAGCAAGAAUAGAUGGAACUAUAAAUUAAUCAAUUUAUCACUGCAAGAUUAUGCCACAUACUUAUUUGUUUUUGUUCUGUUUCCCUAUUACUAGUAUCAACAAGAAUCCGCAAAUAAAACUAUGAAAAAGGAAGUUUGCUGUGAUCCAAACUGAUACUUGAAGAGAGGUUUUCAAACAUGAAUUUUAGAUUUCACCCAAAAGAAGACCCAACAUUCCCGCCAACUCAUUUACCCUAAGAUGUUUUGGAAAUUUUUGUCGCCGUUCCUUGCUUCUGUUUAAUGUCAUAUUUGGUAGCUUUGGUGUUUUCUAUUGGUUAGAUAUGCAUCAUGCGGAUCAGGUAUUGAUUUUGUUUUCUAUUGGUUAGAUAUAAGCUGACACCUUGACUAGUUAUGUCCAUACAGUUAUUUUUCGCUAAAAGAGACACAUACUUAUUGUGGAGAAUACAUACUUUGUAAACACAAGUUGUUCACAUGAACAAAAUGGACUGCAUUUUUUCAUGCUAGCUAAGUUUGCCUUAUCAAUCAGAAACAUCAAAUCUUCUCUCCUCUCCAAAUAACCGUUUUUUUCUUAUCUCCAAGAAAAAAACUCUCCAACUUCACAGAUUCUAUCAAAAUCUUUUCAAUUGUAUUUCAAAUCUACUGGAUUUGGUCUCAAUCUUUCGGAUCCUCCGGUUAAAUUUGGAUACAAUUAGUAGUUAGUUUGUAUUAUUAGAUAAAUAAAUAAAACAAAUUGUUGUUUUAGGCAACAAUAUUUAGGUUUUUUUUAUAUGUUUGUAUUUGUCUUUCUGAUGGAUCUGAUGGCUUCUUCAUGCUAUUUGGAUUUGUUUUCUGAUAGCCAUUAUGGCAUUGAUUGGUGGAGUUGCUGCAUCGUUUUCAAGUAUGUUAUGAAAGACGACGAUCUACUUCGAAAAUCAACACCGAUACUGAUCGUGAUAGUGUCAAUUUGGGCUUAUUACUUCUCUACAGUGGAAGCAUCUAACAUAUAUGAUGUUGAUGAUGAAGAAUGAAAGGAUGAAUCAAAAUGGUUUGAAUCAAUAACCAUUAGAAGGGUGUCAAUUUCAAUGACAAAAUGUAAAUUAGUACAAUUUCGGUUUUUCGUUUCUUUAUGUUUCGAAAUCUGUAAAUUAGGUGCUAGUUGUUUCGUUUUGUUUCCUACUGAUGUAAUUGAUACUGAUGUUAUCAUGAUUCCUGGAAUGGUGAUUCUGCACCAUUAUGUAUCCCU